CACAAACAGAAGAGUUAAUCUCAUGGAGGCUGAAAAGUUUUCGUUAGUGGGGAAGCAAUGCAUCAUGGUGACUGACUUCAACAGGAUUGCUCCUGAGUUGAGCACCAGCCAUCCUGCGUGAGCCGUGAUGGGAAGACAGCACAGAAUUAUGCUCUCUAAGUCUGUUUUGUGGUAUUUCCCCUUUUUCUUUCAGAGAAGUGUGAGUCACCUGGGGAAUGUCAGGAAACACAAGAAGUUUGCAGAAAUCUUACCCACGUAGCCAGCAAAACCAAGAUGACGUCAGUGUGCUAUGAAUCACCGGCACGGAACAUCCAGCUGAUGGUUGGAGACACUACUUUGAUCAUGUACUGGAGCUGAGAGUGAGAUGUGUCAACAAGAACUCCCAAGCCUCAGCUUGUAGCAUUUCUGUGGGGUUCUCAGUGGAAGCGAAGGAGAAAAGGAAACAUAUUUGCUGAGUAGAUGUUAUCUGUCUUCAAACCUACUUCUGGUAGGUCCCUGGAGGUUUUCAAGGAAAGGGUAGAUGUCACAACCAGGGACAUGGUUGGUGGGCAUGGUGGUGAUGGGUUGAUGGUUGGAUGAGAUGAUCUUAG
Molecule: long non-coding RNA, 590 nt
Organism: Gallus gallus (chicken)
Lineage: Eukaryota; Metazoa; Chordata; Aves; Galliformes; Phasianidae
Source: Ensembl